UUACGGGAGGCAGCAGUGGGGAAUAUUGCGCAAUGGCCGCAAGGCUGACGCAGCGACGCCGCGUGUGGGAUGAAGGCCUUCGGGUUGUAAACCACUGUCGGGGGGGGCGAAUACUCGGCUUCGAACAGGAGACCGAGGGUGACGGUACCCCCAAAGGAAGCACCGGCUAACUCCGUGCCAGCAGCCGCGGUAAUACGGAGGGUGCGAGCGUUGUCCGGAAUCACUGGGCGUAAAGGGCGCGUAGGCGGCCGUGUAAGUCACUUGUGAAAUCCCGGGGCUCAACUCCGGGGCCGCAGGUGAGACUGCGUGGCUAGAGCACGGUAGAGGCGAGUGGAAUUCCCGGUGUAGCGGUGGAAUGCGUAGAUAUCGGGAAGAACACCGGUGGCGAAGGCGGCUCGCUGGGCCGUUGCUGACGCUGAGGCGCGAAAGCGUGGGGAGCAAACAGGAUUAGAUACCCUGGUAGC
This 464-nucleotide ribosomal RNA is filed under the name uncultured bacterium. RNAcentral's name for it is "bacterial SSU rRNA". It matches the Rfam family "Bacterial small subunit ribosomal RNA", at positions 339 to 794 of the family's 1533-position model. The record is from RNAcentral.